GGUUGAUCUGAUGGUAGUGGGUUAUCAGAACUUAUUAACAUGAGUGUCAUUAAAGUUGGUAUAUAGCCCCUCACUGCUAAAUCUGGCUUAAACAUUU
This is an unclassified non-coding RNA of Chlorocebus sabaeus (green monkey), 97 nucleotides long. It matches the Rfam family "Y RNA". Rfam says of the family: Y RNAs are components of the Ro ribonucleoprotein particle (Ro RNP), in association with Ro60 and La proteins. The Y RNAs and Ro60 and La proteins are well conserved, but the function of the Ro RNP is not known. The record is from Ensembl. Lineage: Eukaryota; Metazoa; Chordata; Mammalia; Primates; Cercopithecidae.